GUCUCAGUAGCAUAGUGAUUAACGCACGGCCCCGCUUAGGCGCGAGACGCAGGUUUGAAUCCCGCCUGAGAUG
Molecule: non-coding RNA, 73 nt
Organism: Nippostrongylus brasiliensis
Lineage: Eukaryota; Metazoa; Nematoda; Chromadorea; Rhabditida; Heligmosomidae
Source: Rfam